GAGUGGCGGACGGGUGAGUAACACGUGGGUAACCUGCCCAGAAGCAGGGGAUAACACCUGGAAACAGAUGCUAAUACCGUAUAACAGAGAAAACCGCCUGGUUUUCUUUUAAAAGAUGGCUCUGCUAUCACUUCUGGAUGGACCCGCGGCGCAUUAGCUAGUUGGUGAGGUAACGGCUCACCAAGGCGAUGAUGCGUAGCCGACCUGAGAGGGUAAUCGGCCACAUUGGGACUGAGACACGGCCCAGACUCCUACGGGAGGCAGCAGUAGGGAAUCUUCCACAAUGGACGCAAGUCUGAUGGAGCAACGCCGCGUGAGUGAAGAAGGGUUUCGGCUCGUAAAGCUCUGUUGUUAAAGAAGAACGUGGGUGAGAGUAACUGUUCACCCAGUGACGGUAUUUAACCAGAAAGCCACGGCUAACUACGUGCCAGCAGCCGCGGUAAUACGUAGGUGGCAAGCGUUAUCCGGAUUUAUUGGGCGUAAAGCGAGCGCAGGCGGUCUUUUAAGUCUAAUGUGAAAGCCUUCGGCUCAACCGAAGAAGUGCAUUGGAAACUGGGAGACUUGAGUGCAGAAGAGGAUAGUGGAACUCCAUGUGUAGCGGUGAAAUGCGUAGAUAUAUGGAAGAACACCAGUGGCGAAGGCGGCUGUCUGGUCUGUAACUGACGCUGAGGCUCGAAAGCAUGGGUAGCGAACAGGAUUAGAUACCCUGGUAGUCCAUGCCGUAAACGAUGAUUACUAAGUGUUGGAGGGUUUCCGCCCUUCAGUGCUGCAGCUAACGCAUUAAGUAAUCCGCCUGGGGAGUACGACCGCAAGGUUGAAACUCAAAAGAAUUGACGGGGGCCCGCACAAGCGGUGGAGCAUGUGGUUUAAUUCGAAGCUACGCGAAGAACCUUACCAGGUCUUGACAUCUUCUGCCAACCUAAGAGAUUAGGCGUUCCCUUCGGGGACAGAAUGACAGGUGGUGCAUGGUUGUCGUCAGCUCGUGUCGUGAGAUGUUGGGUUAAGUCCCGCAACGAGCGCAACCCUUAUUACUAGUUGCCAGCAUUCAGUUGGGCACUCUAGUGAGACUGCCGGUGACAAACCGGAGGAAGGUGGGGACGACGUCAAAUCAUCAUGCCCCUUAUGACCUGGGCUACACACGUGCUACAAUGGAUGGUACAACGAGUUGCGAAACCGCGAGGUUUAGCUAAUCUCUUAAAACCAUUCUCAGUUCGGACUGUAGGCUGCAACUCGCCUACACGAAGUCGGAAUCGCUAGUAAUCGCGGAUCAGCAUGCCGCGGUGAAUACGUUCCCGGGCCUUGUACACACCGCCCGUCACACCAUGAGAGUUUGUAACACCCAAAGCCGGUGGGGUAACCUUAGGAG
RNAcentral lists this ribosomal RNA (1366 nucleotides) under Pediococcus acidilactici. RNAcentral's name for it is "16S ribosomal RNA". It matches the Rfam family "Bacterial small subunit ribosomal RNA", at positions 93 to 1448 of the family's 1533-position model. Lineage: Bacteria; Bacillati; Bacillota; Bacilli; Lactobacillales; Lactobacillaceae. The record is from RNAcentral.